Molecule: ribosomal RNA, 468 nt
Filed under: uncultured bacterium
Lineage: Bacteria
Description: partial 16S ribosomal RNA
Rfam family: Bacterial small subunit ribosomal RNA
Source: RNAcentral
GACGAACGCUGGCGGCGUGCUUAACACAUGCAAGUCGAACGGAAAGGCCCUGCUGUUGUGGGGUGCUCGAGUGGCGAACGGGUGAGUAACAAGUGAGUAACCUGCCCUUGACUUUGGGAUAACUUCAGGAAACUGGGGCUAAUACCGGAUAGGAGCUCCUGCUGCAUGGUGGGGGUUGGAAAGUUUCGGCGGUUGGGGAUGGACUCGCGGCUUAUCAGCUUGUUGGUGGGGUAGUGGCUUACCAAGGCUUUGACGGGUAGCCGGCCUGAGAGGGUGACCGGCCACAUUGGGUCUGAGAUACGGCCCAGACUCCUGCGGGAGGCAGCAGUGGGAAAUAUUGCACAAUGGGCGGAAGCCUGAUGCAGCAACGCCGCGUGCGGGAUGACGGCCUUCGGGUUGUAAACCGCUUUCGCCUGUGACGAAGCGUGAGUGACGGUAAUGGGUAAAGAAGCACCGGCUAACUACGUG